GACGAACGCUGGCGGCGUGCCUAAUACAUGCAAGUCGAACGCUUCUUUCCUCCCGAGUGCUUGCACUCAAUUGGAAAGAGGAGUGGCGGACGGGUGAGUAACACGUCGGUAACCUACCCAUCAGAGGGGGAUAACACUUGGAAACAGGUGCUAAUACCGCAUAACAGUUUAUGCCGCAUGGCAUAAGAGUGAAAGGCGCUUUCGGUGGUCGCUGAUGGAUGGACCCGCGGUGCAUUAGCUAGUUGGUGAGGUAACGGCUCACCAAGGCAACGAUGCAUAGCCGACCUGAGAGGGUGAUCGGCCACACUGGGACUGAGACACGGCCCAGACUCCUACGGGAGGCAGCAGUAGGGAAUCUUCGGCAAUGGACGAAAGUCUGACCGAGCAACGCCGCGUGAGUGAAGAAGGUGUUCGGAUCGUAAAACUCUGUUGUUAGAGAAGAACAAGGACGUUAGUAACUGAACGUCCCCUGACGGUAUCUAAACAGAAAGCCGCGGCUAACUACGUG
RNAcentral lists this ribosomal RNA (508 nucleotides) under uncultured bacterium. RNAcentral describes it as "partial 16S ribosomal RNA". It matches the Rfam family "Bacterial small subunit ribosomal RNA", at positions 28 to 507 of the family's 1533-position model. The record is from RNAcentral.